GAUGAAGAACGCAGCGAAAUGCGAUAAGUAAUGUGAAUUGCAGAAUUCAGUGAAUCAUCGAAUCUUUGAACGCACAUUGCGCCCGCCAGUAUUCUGGCGGGCAUGCCUGUUCGAGCGUCAUUACAACCCUCAGGCCCCCGGGCCUGGCGUUGGGGAUCGGCGGAAGCCCCCUGCGGGCACAACGCCGUCCCCCAAAUACAGUGGCGGUCCCGCCGCAGCUUCCAUUGCGUAGUAGCUAACACCUCGCAACUGGAGAGCGGCGCGGCCACGCCGUAAAACACCCAACUUCUGAAUGUUGACCUCGAAUCAGGUAGGAAUACCCGCUGAACUUACGCAUAUCAAUAAGCGGAGGA
RNAcentral lists this unclassified non-coding RNA (353 nucleotides) under soil metagenome. RNAcentral describes it as "partial contains 5.8S ribosomal RNA, internal transcribed spacer 2, and large subunit ribosomal RNA". The stretch from base 1 to 120 matches the Rfam family "5.8S ribosomal RNA", at positions 35 to 154 of the family's 154-position model. The record is from RNAcentral.